GCUCUCAUAGCUUAGUGACUAAAGCAUCUGUUUUACAAGCAGAGGAUCGGUGGUUUGAGUCCAUCUGGGAGUACCA
Molecule: transfer RNA, 76 nt
Filed under: Candidatus Peregrinibacteria bacterium
Lineage: Bacteria; Candidatus Peregrinibacteriota
Description: tRNA-Val
Rfam family: tRNA
About the family: Transfer RNA (tRNA) molecules are approximately 80 nucleotides in length. Their secondary structure includes four short double-helical elements and three loops (D, anti-codon, and T loops).
Source: RNAcentral